UACGUAGGGACCAAGCGUUGUUCGGAUUUACUGGGCGUAAAGGGCGCGUAGGCGGCAAUUCAAGUCAUCUGUGAAAUCUCUGGGCUUAACCCAGAACGGCCAGAUGAUACUGCUUUGCUAGAGUGCAGAAGGGGCAAUCGGAAUUCUUGGUGUAGCGGUGAAAUGCGUAGAUAUCAAGAGGAACACCUGAGGUGAAGACGGGUUGCUGGGCUGAAACUGACGCUGAGGCGCGAAAGCCAGGGGAGCAAACGGG
RNAcentral lists this ribosomal RNA (253 nucleotides) under uncultured bacterium. RNAcentral's name for it is "partial 16S ribosomal RNA". It matches the Rfam family "Bacterial small subunit ribosomal RNA", at positions 524 to 776 of the family's 1533-position model. The record is from RNAcentral.